GACGGAGGAGGCAAGCGUUAUCCGGAAUUAUUGGGCGUAAAGGGUACGUAGGCGGCUGGUCAAGUCUGGGGUCAAAGGCCACAGCUCAACUGUGGGAAGGCCCUGGAAACUGACCGGCUAGAGUGAGGUAGGGGUUGCGGGAAUUCCCGGUGUAGCGGUGAAAUGCGUAGAGAUCGGGAAGAACACCUGAGGCGGAAGCGCGCAACUGGGCCUCAACUGACGCUGAGGUACGAAAGCUAGGGGAGCGAAUGGG
RNAcentral lists this ribosomal RNA (253 nucleotides) under uncultured bacterium. RNAcentral's name for it is "partial 16S ribosomal RNA". It matches the Rfam family "Bacterial small subunit ribosomal RNA", at positions 524 to 776 of the family's 1533-position model. The record is from RNAcentral.